UCAGUUUGGCACUGCACGCACUAACAUUGCAGUAAUACAGGGAAGAUUAGCGUGGCCCCUGCAUGCAAAAUCGUGAAGCGUUUCGUAAUUUU
This 92-nucleotide small nuclear RNA is filed under the name Zootermopsis nevadensis. The record is from RNAcentral. Lineage: Eukaryota; Metazoa; Arthropoda; Insecta; Blattodea; Termopsidae.